This 254-nucleotide ribosomal RNA is filed under the name uncultured bacterium. RNAcentral describes it as "partial 16S ribosomal RNA". It matches the Rfam family "Bacterial small subunit ribosomal RNA", at positions 524 to 776 of the family's 1533-position model. The record is from RNAcentral.
CACGUAGGGGCCAAGCGUUGUCCGGAUUUAUUGGGCGUAAAGAGCUCGUAGGCGGUUCAGUCAGUCGGGUGUGAAAUCUCCGGGCUCAACCCGGAGGGGCCACCCGAUACUGCUGUGACUUGAGUCCGGUAGGGGAGCGGGGAAUUCCUGGUGUAGCGGUGAAAUGCGCAGAUAUCAGGAGGAACACCGGUGGCGAAGGCGUCGCGCUGGGCCGGUACUGACGCUGAGGAGCGAAAGCGUGGGGAGCAAACAGG